Molecule: ribosomal RNA, 494 nt
Filed under: uncultured bacterium
Lineage: Bacteria
Description: partial 16S ribosomal RNA
Rfam family: Bacterial small subunit ribosomal RNA
Source: RNAcentral
GACGAACGCUGGCGGCGUGCUUAACACAUGCAAGUCGAACGGUGAAGCGCCUUCCUUUUUGGUGGGUGUGGAUGAGUGGCGAACGGGUGAGUAACACGUGAGUAACCUGCCCCCUUCUUCUGGAUAACCGCAUGAAAGUGUGGCUAAUACGGGAUAUUCUGGGUCUGUCGCAUGAUGGGUCUGGGAAAGAUAUUGUUUCGGUGGGGGAUGGGCUCGCGGCCUAUCAGCUUGUUGGUGGGGUGAUGGCCUACCGAGGCGGUGACGGGUAGCCGGCCUGAGAGGGUGGACGGUCACACUGGGACUGAGACACGGCCCAGACUCCUACGGGAGGCAGCAGUGGGGAAUAUUGCACAAUGGGCGCAAGCCUGAUGCAGCGACGCCGCGCGAGGGAUGGAGGCCUUCGGGUUGUGAACCUCUUUCGCCAGUGAAGCAGGCCUGCCUCGUUUGUGGGUGGGUUGACGGUAGCUGGAUAAGAAGCGCCGGCUAACUACGUG